CGAACGCUGGCGGCGUGCCUAAUACAUGCAAGUCGAGCGGAUGACGAGGAGCUUGCUCCUCUGAUUCAGCGGCGGACGGGUGAGUAACACGUGGGCAACCUGCCUGUAAGACUGGGAUAACUCCGGGAAACCGGGGCUAAUACCGGAUAGGUGAUCUUUUCGCAUGAAGAGAUCAGGAAAGAUGGCUUCGGCUAUCACUUACAGAUGGGCCCGCGGCGCAUUAGCUAGUUGGUGAGGUAACGGCUCACCAAGGCGACGAUGCGUAGCCGACCUGAGAGGGUGAUCGGCCACACUGGGACUGAGACACGGCCCAGACUCCUACGGGAGGCAGCAGUAGGGAAUCUUCCGCAAUGGACGAAAGUCUGACGGAGCAACGCCGCGUGAGCGAAGAAGGUCUUCGGAUCGUAAAGCUCUGUUGUUAGGGAAGAACAAGUACCGUUCGAAUAGGGCGGUACCGUGACGGUACCUAACCAGAAAGCCACGGCUAACUAC
RNAcentral lists this ribosomal RNA (492 nucleotides) under uncultured bacterium. RNAcentral's name for it is "bacterial SSU rRNA". It matches the Rfam family "Bacterial small subunit ribosomal RNA", at positions 30 to 504 of the family's 1533-position model. The record is from RNAcentral.